RNAcentral lists this ribosomal RNA (253 nucleotides) under uncultured bacterium. RNAcentral describes it as "partial 16S ribosomal RNA". It matches the Rfam family "Bacterial small subunit ribosomal RNA", at positions 524 to 776 of the family's 1533-position model. The record is from RNAcentral.
UACAGAGGGGGCAAGCGUUAUUCGGAAUUAUUGGGCGUAAAGGGCGCGUAGGCGGCUUUGUAAGUUAGAGGUGAAAGCCCGGGGCUCAACUCCGGAAUUGCCUUUAAGACUGCAUCGCUAGAAUUGUGGAGAGGUAAGUGGAAUUCCGAGUGUAGAGGUGAAAUUCGUAGAUAUUCGGAAGAACACCAGUGGCGAAGGCGACUUACUGGACAAAUAUUGACGCUGAGGUGCGAAAGCGUGGGGAGCAAACAGG